Molecule: ribosomal RNA, 502 nt
Filed under: uncultured bacterium
Lineage: Bacteria
Description: partial 16S ribosomal RNA
Rfam family: Bacterial small subunit ribosomal RNA
Source: RNAcentral
GACGAACGCUGGCGGCGUGCUUAACACAUGCAAGUCGAACGGUGAAGGGGCCUGCUUUUGUGGGCCCUGGAUGAGUGGCGAACGGGUGAGUAACACGUGAGUAACCUGCCCCCUUCUUCUGGAUAACCGCAUGAAAGUGUGGCUAAUACGGGAUAUUCUGGGUCUGUCGCAUGAUGGGUCUGGGAAAGAUUGCGCCUUUGGGUGUUUUUGGUGGGGGAUGGGCUCGCGGCCUAUCAGCUUGUUGGUGGGGUGAUGGCCUACCAAGGCGGUGACGGGUAGCCGGCCUGAGAGGGUGGACGGUCACACUGGGACUGAGACACGGCCCAGACUCCUACGGGAGGCAGCAGUGGGGAAUAUUGCACAAUGGGCGCAAGCCUGAUGCAGCGACGCCGCGUGAGGGAUGGAGGCCUUCGGGGUGUAAACCUCUUUCGCCAGUGAAGCAGGCCUGCUCCUUGUGGGUGGGUUGACGGUAGCUGGAGAAGAAGCGCCGGCUAACUACGUG